UGCAGUUUUACCUACUGCUUGCUGGGUAGCAACCAUCUUGUUGGGAUCACCAGGUGCCAACAGAUCAUCCCAUUCAAGUGUGUUAAUCUCGAGUAGCCUCUGUUCAUGAUUUUGGACGGUCAUAUCCCUGUUAGGUUCUAAAUGUGCAUGUCGGCUAGCGGAAUAUUGCUGAUCAACAGCUGAAUCAAGUUCUCCUGAUAAAACCCAAGAAGCAGACAGAUCAGCAGGAUCAGACAAUGCCGA
RNAcentral lists this unclassified non-coding RNA (243 nucleotides) under Hevea brasiliensis (rubber tree). Lineage: Eukaryota; Viridiplantae; Streptophyta; Magnoliopsida; Malpighiales; Euphorbiaceae. The record is from RNAcentral.